RNAcentral lists this ribosomal RNA (806 nucleotides) under uncultured archaeon. Its description in RNAcentral is "bacterial SSU rRNA". It matches the Rfam family "Archaeal small subunit ribosomal RNA", at positions 88 to 879 of the family's 1478-position model. The record is from RNAcentral.
GCUCAGUAACACGUGGCUAAUCUGCCCUUAGGACGAGAAUAACCCCGGGAAACUGGGGCUAACUCUCGAUAGGUGAAGAACUCUGGAAUGAGUCUUCACUCAAAAAGCUUCACGUUAUCCUCGUGAAGUCGCCUAAGGAUGAGGCCGCGGCCGAUCAGGUUGUUGGCGAGGUAACGGCUCACCAAGCCUUUUACCGGUGCGGGCCGUGAGAGCGGGAGCCCGGAGAUGGGUACUGAGACAAGGACCCAGGCCCUACGGGGCGCAGCAGUCGCGAAACCUUUGCAAUACACGAAAGUGUGACAGGGCUAUCCCGAGUGCCAUCCGCUGAGGAAGGCUUUUACCCAGUCUAGAUAGCUGGGGGAAUAAGGAGAGGGCAAGUCUGGUGUCAGCCGCCGCGGUAAUACCAGCUCUCCGAGUGGUGUGGAUGUUUAUUGGGCCUAAAGCAUCCGUAGCUGGCUAGGUCAGUCCCUUGUCAAAUCCACCGAAUUAAUCGUUGGAUCGCGGGGGAUACUGCUUGGCUAGGGGACGAGAGAGGCAGACGGUAUUUUCGGGGUAGGGGUGAAAUCCUAUAAUCCCGGGAAGACCACCAGUGGCGAAGGCUGUCUGCUAGAACGCGCCCGACGGUGAGGGAUGAAAGCUGGGGGAGCGAACCGGAUUAGAUACCCGGGUAGUCCCAGCUGUAAACGGUGCAGACUAGGUGUUUGGACGGCCACGUGCCGUUCUAGUGCCGCAGGGAAGCUGUUAAGUCUGCCGCCUGGGGAGUACGAUCGCAAGAUUGAAACUUAAAGGAAUUGGCGGGGGAGCAC